CGACGCUGGCGGCGUGCCUAACACAUGCAAGUCGAACGCGAACGGGUCUUCGGACCCUAGUAGAGUGGCGCACGGGUGAGUAACACGUGGGCAAUCUACCCAGGGAUUUGGGAUAACCAGGGGAAACCCUGGCUAAUACCGAAUACGUCCAUGAGGCCUUCGGUCCUCAUGGAGAAAGGUGGCCUCUUCUCGAAAGCUGCCGUUCCUGGAUGAGCCCGCGGACCAUUAGCUUGUUGGUGAGGUAACGGCUCACCAAGGCCAUGAUGGUUAGCUGGUCUGAGAGGAUGAUCAGCCACACUGGGACUGACACACGGCCCAGACUCCUACGGGAGGCAGCAGUGGGGAAUAUUGCGCAAUGGGCGAAAGCCUGACGCAGCCACGCCGCGUGUGCGAUGAAGGUCUUCGGAUCGUAAAGCACUGUGGAGGGAGAAGAAUAAAGCCGGUGAAGAGCCGGCCCUGACGGUAUCCCUUUAGCAAGCACCGGCUAACUCCGUG
Molecule: ribosomal RNA, 495 nt
Filed under: uncultured bacterium
Lineage: Bacteria
Description: bacterial SSU rRNA
Rfam family: Bacterial small subunit ribosomal RNA
Source: RNAcentral